CAGUAGCCGCGGUAAUACGAAGGGGGCUAGCGUUGUUCGGAAUCACUGGGCGUAAAGCGCACGUAGGCGGACUUUUAAGUCAGGGGUGAAAUCCCAAGGCUCAACCUUGGAACUGCCCUUGAUACUGGAAGUCUUGAGUUCGGGAGAGGUGAGUGGAACUGCGAGUGUAGAGGUGAAAUUCGUAGAUAUUCGCAAGAACACCAGUGGCGAAGGCGGCUCACUGGCCCGAUACUGACGCUGAGGUGCGAAAGCGUGGGGAGCAAACAGGAUUAGAUACCCGAGUAGUCCCUGUCUCUUAUAC
This 301-nucleotide ribosomal RNA is filed under the name uncultured bacterium. RNAcentral describes it as "partial 16S ribosomal RNA". It matches the Rfam family "Bacterial small subunit ribosomal RNA", at positions 509 to 807 of the family's 1533-position model. The record is from RNAcentral.